This 460-nucleotide ribosomal RNA is filed under the name uncultured bacterium. RNAcentral's name for it is "partial 16S ribosomal RNA". It matches the Rfam family "Bacterial small subunit ribosomal RNA", at positions 338 to 795 of the family's 1533-position model. The record is from RNAcentral.
CCUACGGGUGGCAGCAGUGAGGAAUAUUGGUCAAUGGCCGGAAGGCUGAACCAGCCAUGCCGCGUGAAGGUCAGUGCCCUAUGGGCGUUAAACUUCUUUUGUGCGGGAGCAAUAAUGGUCACGUGUGGCCAGACGAGAGUACCGUACGAAUAAGCAUCGGCUAACUCCGUGCCAGCAGCCGCGGUAAUACGGGGGAUGCAAGCGUUAUCCGGAUUUGUUGGGGUUAAAGGGUGCGUAGGCUGUGAGGUAAGUCAGCGGGGAAAUGCCCCCGGUCAACGGGGUGAAGUGCCAUUGAUACUGGCGUGCUGGAAUGCGGAUGCCGUGGGAGGAAUGUGUGGUGUAGCGGUGAAAUGCAUAGAUAUCACACAGAACACCGAUUGCGAAGGCAGCUCACGGAUCCGCGAUUGACGCUGAUGCACGAAAGCGUGGGUAUCAAACAGGAUUAGAUACCCCAGUAGUC